GUUCCUGUAGCGCAGAGGAUAGCGCGUUGGACUUCUUAUCCAAAAGUCGUGGAUUCGAACCCACCUGGAAUG
This 72-nucleotide transfer RNA is filed under the name Trichonephila clavata. It matches the Rfam family "tRNA". From Rfam's summary of the family: Transfer RNA (tRNA) molecules are approximately 80 nucleotides in length. Their secondary structure includes four short double-helical elements and three loops (D, anti-codon, and T loops). The record is from Rfam by way of RNAcentral. Lineage: Eukaryota; Metazoa; Arthropoda; Arachnida; Araneae; Nephilidae.